AAUGAAGGGGAUGAUGUCUUUCUAUGUGAAUAUGAAUAUGACAUACAUUGGCUGAGUUUUAAGCGUCUCGCAGAUAUU
This is a small nucleolar RNA of Malania oleifera, 78 nucleotides long. RefSeq annotates it as small nucleolar RNA snoR28. The transcript has a single exon. NCBI's taxonomy places the organism in Eukaryota, Viridiplantae, Streptophyta, Magnoliopsida, Santalales, Ximeniaceae. The record is from RefSeq and is a predicted model, not a curated record.